UCAAACAGACCUGCAGCUUUCAUCUCUCAGCCUCACAUGAAGGCCAGAAGACAAACGAUCCGUUUAAUGCCGGUCUAAUCGUGCUAAACCUCUGAUCCCGCCAAACAAGCCUCCACAUGGCUGCUGUGUGUGCGCCACAUGUUCCAGGAGGAUUUAGCGCUGAGGCUCACCCUUUGUUACAACACAAACAACUUCAACCAGCCGGAUGUUUGUGUCGAGUAACCAUUGAAGGGCAUCCGUCUGGUCUGCAGCAGCUGGUGUAAAUAUGUACGAAGGACACAAGCAGACAACAUUAAAGAGUAGAACGCCGUUUUGACAUCAGGAGCAGCAUCCCAUCUUAGCUCUGAAAAGAAGCGUCCAAAAAUAAAGAGGAUUGCAGAAAGCUCCGCGUGAAAAUAGAGAAGCUGCAGCCUCACAGACGCAGAAACCAUGGCCAUCUGCACGCUGCAGCCAUGGAGACGAGACCGAGCAGGAAUCUUAAGCCGUGGGUUUCAGAAGGCAGCGCUCUGAGCCUCCUCUAUGGACUCAUCUCCAGCUCAUCGUAGCCAUGAGCAACACGAGAUGCUGAUGAGCUGGAGGAGGAGAACGAAACGGCAGAACUUAAAGACUCACUCCAAUGAAAAUAACAUGUUCUUUUUUUUACAUUUUAACAUGUUCUGGUUGCAUUUUAAUCAAGAUGGAGCACAUAUAUAAAGAAAAUUAAGUAUUUAUUUCUGAGUAUUUCCUUAUUCAGAUUGUAGGUCCGGAGCAGACGUAAAAGUGCCGUUUUAAAAAGAUCAUAUCAGUGAUGCCGAAAAGGGGUUUGAUGGGCUGUAAGCUAGCAGGACAGUGUGUAAACCUGUGACUGUAUAUAGAGAACUGGACCCCUCCUCCUUGGCAUUCCACACAGGAAGUACCUGCUGGCUCCAAAAAGCCAAAAUCCCAUAGGGAAGAAGUUGUUACGGAGUCAUUCUAUUGGUCAG
Oryzias melastigma (Indian medaka) is the source of this 962-nucleotide long non-coding RNA. RefSeq lists it as uncharacterized. The record is from RefSeq and is a predicted model, not a curated record. Lineage: Eukaryota; Metazoa; Chordata; Actinopteri; Beloniformes; Adrianichthyidae. The transcript has 3 exons.